RNAcentral lists this ribosomal RNA (484 nucleotides) under uncultured bacterium. RNAcentral describes it as "partial 16S ribosomal RNA". It matches the Rfam family "Bacterial small subunit ribosomal RNA", at positions 28 to 507 of the family's 1533-position model. The record is from RNAcentral.
AUUGAACGCUGGCGGCAUGCUUUACACAUGCAAGUCGAACGGCAGCGCGGGCUUCGGCCUGGCGGCGAGUGGCGAACGGGUGAGUAAUGCAUCGGAACGUGCCCAGCAGUGGGGGAUAGCCCGGUGAAAGCCGGAUUCAUACCGCAUACGACCUGAGGGUGUAAGCGGGGGACCGAAAGGUCUCGCGCUCUUGCAGCGGCCGAUGUCGGAUUAGCUAGUUGGUGGGGUAAAGGCUUACCAAGGCGACGAUCCGUAGCUGGUCUGAGAGGACGACCAGCCACACUGGGACUGAGACACGGCCCAGACUCCUACGGGAGGCAGCAGUGGGGAAUUUUGGACAAUGGGGGCAACCCUGAUCCAGCCAUGCCGCGUGCGGGAAGAAGGCCUUCGGGUUGUAAACCGCUUUUGUUCGGGAAGAAAUCCUCUGGGCUAAUACCCCGGGGGGAUGACGGUACCGGAAGAAUAAGCACCGGCUAACUACGUG